This 485-nucleotide ribosomal RNA is filed under the name uncultured bacterium. RNAcentral describes it as "partial 16S ribosomal RNA". It matches the Rfam family "Bacterial small subunit ribosomal RNA", at positions 30 to 508 of the family's 1533-position model. The record is from RNAcentral.
AUUGAACGCUGGCGGCAGGCCUAACACAUGCAAGUCGAGCGGAUGAAGGGAGCUUGCUCCUGGAUUCAGCGGCGGACGGGUGAGUAAUGCCUAGGAAUCUGCCUGGUAGUGGGGGAUAACGUCCGGAAACGGGCGCUAAUACCGCAUACGUCCUGAGGGAGAAAGUGGGGGAUCUUCGGACCUCACGCUAUCAGAUGAGCCUAGGUCGGAUUAGCUAGUUGGUGGGGUAAAGGCCUACCAAGGCGACGAUCCGUAACUGGUCUGAGAGGAUGAUCAGUCACACUGGAACUGAGACACGGUCCAGACUCCUGCGGGAGGCAGCAGUGGGGAAUAUUGGACAAUGGGCGAAAGCCUGAUCCAGCCAUGCCGCGUGUGUGAAGAAGGUCUUCGGAUUGUAAAGCACUUUAAGUUGGGAGGAAGGGCAGUAAGUUAAUACCUUGCUGUUUUGACGUUACCAACAGAAUAAGCACCGGCUAACUUCGUGC